Molecule: ribosomal RNA, 468 nt
Filed under: uncultured bacterium
Lineage: Bacteria
Description: partial 16S ribosomal RNA
Rfam family: Bacterial small subunit ribosomal RNA
Source: RNAcentral
GACGAACGCUGGCGGCGUGCUUAACACAUGCAAGUCGAACGGAAAGGCCCUGCUUUUGUGGGGUGCUCGAGUGGCGAACGGGUGAGUAACACGUGAGUAACCUGCCCUUGACUUUGGGAUAACUUCAGGAAACUGGGGCUAAUACCGGAUAGGAGCUCCUGCUGCAUUGUGGGGGUUGGAAAGUUUCGGCGGUUGGGGAUGGACUCGCGGCUUAUCAGCUUGUUGGUGGGGUAGUGGCUUACCAAGGCUUUGACGGGUAGCCGGCCUGAGAGGGUGACCGGCCACAUGGGGACUGAGAUACGGCCCAGACGCCUACGGGAGGCAGCAGUGGGGAAUAUUGCACAAUGGGCGGAAGCCUGAUGCAGCAACGCCGCGUGCGGGAUGACGGCCUUCGGGUUGUAAACCGCUUUCGCCUGUGACGAAGCGUGAGUGACGGUAAUGGGUAAAGAAGCACCGGCUAACUACGUG